UAGAGUUCAUUUGAUUUUGAAAAAUAAUUUUAACUUCCGAUGUCCCUGGUAGUCACACAGAUACAGGAGUGAGUAUUUAGUCACAUCCUUUGCUGCAGAUGGAAGUGACAAUCCUGGGAACUUGGCUCCUACUACUUACAACUCUGCAGUAUCCAAGCAGUUUCAGAACUUCAUGCAUGAGAAAACAGAAUAGAAUGAAAAUUAUUGAUGUAAAUUACAAGAAGGUAUUACAGCAUUUUGUGGCCCGUGGCUCGCCAUUCGCUGAAGUGAAAGUCAUACCACUUGUCAGCUUUUCAACUCUGGCACGUCAACUAGGUGUUCAUACAGAACAGUCUAUAUACCGUGUCAUGCCAAACUUACAUGUGACCUGCUGUCUUUUGCUUCUGAGAGAGGUACAUCACCUGCCGUGACAUGCUGCAACCCAUAUUAGAAAGUGUUGUAAUAAUAACUAUGGGCCAGAGAUAUUGAACUAAUGGGUACAGCUGUGUAUAUUUUGUGACUGAGAAUUUGGCUAAAAUCUUCUUUCACACAGACAUGUAUAGCUCUGUCCUUUACUGGUUUUAACAUCAUUUAUUGUGAUUGUGGUAUUAGCGCUGCUUGUAAUGGGGAGUUCUUGCCAUUUAAUAUUUCAGGUCGAACUUUAUUUGCAAGUUUUAUCAGAUGGUCAUUAUAUGUAUAUACACCAAGAAAUCUGGAAGGGCACAUUUAAUCUGAGAUGGUAAACUCUCAAAAGCCAAGAAAUUAAGAGCUAAAAUAGCUGAAGAAAGCUAUUUACCUGUAGACAUUUUCUUCCAGUCUUUGAUAACAUGAUCCCAAUUCAGUUAAUAUUCAUUAGGACUGAGAUUUUCAAAGGGCCUAAGGGAGUUAGGUGCUCAGUCCCCACUGAAUUUCUAUAGGAUCUGGGUACCUGAUUCACUUAGGCUCCUUUGAAAAUCCCAACCUUAUUAAUACUUGUUUCAGUAUACUUUGUGAAUCAGACCACACUUCAUAUCCAAAGCCAGGUUUUGCUUUUCCCCCCAUUUAUUUUUAGGGAAAAAAAAGUUCCUGGUGAAGCCAAUUUGUGAAUAUUUCUCAGCUUAAUUUCUGCAACUCCUUUUUCUAAACAGAGGCUAUCCCUGCAAAGGUCCAGUCCUGCCCUCCUUUCUCAUAUGCAUCUUCCAUUUAAGCCAGUGACUCUAGGAUUGGCUGUUCUAGCUUCAUGCAAGAAGGAAACGUUUUACUUGGCCGAGCACCCUUAAUACACCUUGGAUGUAGUCCGUGUUAGAGUUUCAAUCGUUUACUAGAUUGUAUUGAGAAAACAAACUAGGUGUUGGUAAAUAUGUGUCUUCUAAUACCUAGACGUGAAUCAAAAUUUCUCUACUUUUUUGCUAAUACUUUGUAAGGUGAAUGUUGAUUUAUGAGGUACUUUCUUUAAGCCAAGUUUUUGAAGGAAAGAUCUCUUAUUGAGCAAAUUCUAGAGCAGUUGCAUAAGGGAUCUUUCUUCUUCCUUCUUUCACAGCUUUUCCAUCCAUUUGGAGAUAAGCUAUUUUAUUUUUUAAACCACUGAUUUAUCCAGCAUCAUGCCUAUUCUACUCUAAGGUUUUUCAUUUUGUAAAUUACACAGGUGUUAGAUUCACACAGUUCUCAAGGUGUCUCUUCCUAAUAUGUAUACCAACUCUCAAGGUGUCAAAUACAAGUCAUAUUUAUUCCUGUGAUUCUCACUAGCUCUGUUGCGGGAGGGGAGUUUUCUCUGGCAAGAAAUGUAAACUGUAUAUCAUUUCACAACUAGACUUUCAUGGGGGGAAAGUGGUCAGAAUACUUGUUUAAUUUUAGUUAUGAUUUGAGCAGUAUAUUCUUCAUUGUAAGACUGAGAGGUUUGCCAACUUCAGUGAAAUCCUUCAGAAGUUAGGAUUCAGGCAUAUUAGGUGGGGAGAGCCUCCAUAAUAUGCCUGUCUUCAUUUUUGCUGAUAUGAAACAAACAGGCCCGUGGUUUAAAUGUGGUGUGCUGGGAAAUAGGUUACAUAUAAUAUCUCUAAGGACAGGAUUGUCAGGGCCUGCUUUUCUCAUGCAAAAUGGUUUUAAAAAAGUUUCACUCUGUCCCAAGUGGUCUUGCUGCUUGAGUGCUUUUCCCAGGCUCCAGAUCAAUCUUUAACUCCCUACUUUUCAAACAUGACAAAAUAUUAGGAUAACAGACAGAAAAUACUAGCUUCACAAGGGCUAAGCAGAGUGGUCUCGAAUUCCUGCAGGCUUCAGAGUAGUUCUCUUUUCCCAGUUCUCUAAACUCCUAAUCAGGGCUAACUAUUCCCAGUUACUGUGGCUCAAUAUCUAAUCUUUCAAUAAAUGAUAGGGUGGCUACAGAGCCAGACCACGAAGACAUCUUCAACUCACUGCCUGCAAUAGCAUUUCCUGGCCUUACUGAAUAUCUGGCAUAGAGCAAGGAUUAGAAGAGCUGCACUGCAGCCAAUUCUUCCCAGGAUAGCUGUGCCCUGAUUCCAACCAUCCCUUGCGGGCUGCCAUACCAAGGGCCUCUCUGAGUGGGCACCCCCGAUACCACCCACAGAUUCAGACCCCACCCUGCACAGUAGAGUUGCAGCAGUUUCACUACCAGAGAACCUGUGGCCGUGGAGAUGGGAGACUAGGUUAGUUCCAAAGGGUAAAAUUUUCAAAGGAGCCUAAGGUGCUUUUGACUUAGGCCCUGUUGAAAAUGAUCACUGAAAGGCAUAACUAUGUUCCAUAUUUAUGAUUAGGCUGUAGUCACAUAAUGCAUAGAGGGUACUAAAGUGUGUCUUAAGCUAAUGCAGUAUUCUGUAUUAAUGAUGAAUGCUAUGAGAACUUUGGUAUGAAUCAUAUCAUGAAACAAGCAAAUUAAACGACAAGCAGGCUAAGUUUUCUGAUGCGCUAUAUAACUAAUGAUUAACCCCUUUGGUAAAAGAAAGCUAGAGAAGUGAGGCAAGCAGUGGUGGUUGAGGUAUUUCUUUCAAUACGUGGUCCUGCGUGUUCCAGUAUUCAUGGAAGCAAGGUUUACUAUUUCCAGUGUAAAGGAUUUUGCUUUCUUUUCUUUUCUUCUAUUUUUUUUAUAUUUUGUGGAAAGGUCUCUUUUUAGAGUGAAUUCUGCCAACAUAUUAUAUAUAGUCCAUAUUUUUCUUCCCAGUUUUCAUUACUAGUGUCCUUUAUAUGUAAAAAAAUUUUUUUACAUCUGCUCCAGCUAGUUAUUCCUUACAUAAGGUCAUCAUGUCCUUCAUCUAGUCUAGCCUAUCUAGGUACUAGUGCUUUUAAUAUGCCAUGGAAAUUACUUUGAUGUCACAUGUUUUGUAACAAUAUUGGAGUGACUUCACCAGUAGAUGGCGCUGCUGAAAAUUGUUCCAUGGUACAAUAUGGAAAACAGAAAAGGCUUGGUCCUGUGUCUUAAAGGUGUUCUUACUCACUAAACAUCAAAACAGGCUUUUUUUCAUAGUCUGGGUUAUUUAGAUGGAUUUUGUGUUCUCCAGUUGGGUUUAUUGUUCCCUUGCUCUUUCAU
Mauremys reevesii (Reeves's turtle) is the source of this 3496-nucleotide long non-coding RNA. RefSeq lists it as uncharacterized. The transcript has 3 exons. The record is from RefSeq and is a predicted model, not a curated record. NCBI's taxonomy places the organism in Eukaryota, Metazoa, Chordata, Testudines, Geoemydidae.